AGUGAACGCUGGCGGUAGGCCUAACACAUGCAAGUCGAACGGCAGCACAGUAAGAGCUUGCUCUUACGGGUGGCGAGUGGCGGACGGGUGAGGAAUACAUCGGAAUCUACUUUUUCGUGGGGGAUAACGUAGGGAAACUUACGCUAAUACCGCAUACGACCUACGGGUGAAAGCAGGGGAUCUUCGGACCUUGCGCGAUUGAAUGAGCCGAUGUCGGAUUAGCUAGUUUGCGGGGUAAAGGCGCACCAAGGCGACGAUCCGUAGCUGGUCUGAGAGGAUGAUCCGCCACACUGUAACUGAGACACGGUCCAGACUCCUACGGGAGGCAGCAGUGGGGAAUAUUGGACAAUGGGCGCAAGCCUGAUCCAGCCAUACCGCGUGGGUGAAGAAGGCCUUCGGGUUGUAAAGCCCUUUUGUUGGGAAAGAAAAGCAGCACGUUAAUCCCCCGCUGUUCUGACGGUACCCAAAGAAUAAGCACCGGCUAACUUCGUG
RNAcentral lists this ribosomal RNA (492 nucleotides) under uncultured bacterium. Its description in RNAcentral is "partial 16S ribosomal RNA". It matches the Rfam family "Bacterial small subunit ribosomal RNA", at positions 29 to 507 of the family's 1533-position model. The record is from RNAcentral.